This 492-nucleotide ribosomal RNA is filed under the name uncultured bacterium. Its description in RNAcentral is "partial 16S ribosomal RNA". It matches the Rfam family "Bacterial small subunit ribosomal RNA", at positions 29 to 507 of the family's 1533-position model. The record is from RNAcentral.
AGUGAACGCUGGCGGUAGGCCUAACACAUGCAAGUCGAACGGCAGCACAGUAAGAGCUUGCUCUUACGGGUGGCGAGUGGCAGACGGGUGAGGAAUACAUCGGAAUCUACUUUUUCGUGGGGGAUAACGUAGGGAAACUUACGCUAAUACCGCAUACGACCUACGGGUGAAAGCAGGGGAUCUUCGGACCUUGCGCGAUUGAAUGAGCCGAUGUCGGAUUAGCUAGUUGGCGGGGUAAAGGCCCACCAAGGCGACGAUCCGUAGCUGGUCUGAGAGGAUGAUCAGCCACACUGGAACUGAGACACGGUCCAGACUCCUACGGGAGGCAGCAGUGGGGAAUAUUGGACAAUGGGCGAAAGCCUGAUCCAGCCAUACCGCGUGGGUGAAGAAGGCCUUCGGGUUGUAAAGCCCUUUUGUUGGGAAAGAAAAGCAGCAGGUUAAUACCCCGCUGUUCUGACGGUACCCAAAGAAUAAGCACCGGCUAACUUCGUG